Molecule: ribosomal RNA, 481 nt
Filed under: uncultured bacterium
Lineage: Bacteria
Description: partial 16S ribosomal RNA
Rfam family: Bacterial small subunit ribosomal RNA
Source: RNAcentral
AUUGAACGCUGGCGGCAUGCUUUACACAUGCAAGUCGAACGGUAACAGGCCGCAAGGUGCUGACGAGUGGCGAACGGGUGAGUAAUGCAUCGGAACGUGCCCAGUCGUGGGGGAUAACUACUCGAAAGAGUAGCUAAUACCGCAUACGAUCUAUGGAUGAAAGCGGGGGACCGUAAGGCCUCGCGCGAUUGGAGCGGCCGAUGUCAGAUUAGGUAGUUGGUGGGGUAAAGGCUCACCAAGCCAACGAUCUGUAGCUGGUCUGAGAGGACGACCAGCCACACUGGGACUGAGACACGGCCCAGACUCCUACGGGAGGCAGCAGUGGGGAAUUUUGGACAAUGGGCGCAAGCCUGAUCCAGCAAUGCCGCGUGCAGGAAGAAGGCCUUCGGGUUGUAAACUGCUUUUGUACGGAACGAAACGGCUCGGGUUAAUACACGGGGCUAAUGACGGUACCGUAAGAAUAGGCACCGGCUAACUACGU